AUGAAAGGUGGGCUUUCCUGCAGGCCCUUAAUCCUCCCCCGGAGCCCACCAAAAUCCUGCCCACUGCAAAUUCGCUAUAUAUGAUGCCAUAUUGGUUGCAUUAACUUGCAAAGGCUUCCUUUAUUUAGCUCUUCCCAUCACUCCUUGCACGCUCACUUUUCCCUCCCUAAAAACUUCAUGUAAGCCUCUGUGGAGGAGAGAGGGGAAAAACGACAAAAAAUAAGGCUAUUAUAGCCUUUACUUUUCAUCGAUUUUCACAACUUUUUUCAUUAAGGCCUGUGAUCCCCCCUUUGCAUUUGACCCAAAGUUUGGAAUGGCUUGGGGCAGUUUUGGGAAAAUUUCCAGUUGUCCCCCCAGGCCCUUUGUUGAUCCUGGGGUUGCCUGUGUUCCCCUCCUUGCAUUUGACCCAAAUUUUUCGAAACAUGUUUUUAUGAGUCGGAAGUGAUCGUUUUGAUUAGAGAAAUGUUUCUCAACAAUUUUCAGAAAGUUUGGUGUGAGUUGGGCCUCUUGAAUUUUUACUGUGAUCACCAUUUGUUGACCGUAGGGUUGCUUAUGAUCCCCCCUUUGCAUUUGACCCAAAGUUUUUGAAACAAGUUUUUCUAAGUCGAAGGUGAUCGUUUUGAUGAGAGAAAGAAAGUUUUGUGAGUUGGGGGAUCUAUGAAUUUUAAAAAAAUUUCCUGUGGUACUCUCAUUUUUAACCCAUCGAGUCUCAUUGUGCCCAGAUGCUCUCUGCUUUACUCUGUCUAACGCCAGAAGAUUUUACUCGUCAAGGGGAGAGCGCUGGCGCUUAAUGGUUAACUGGCCUAUCUGCCCAUGGGUGUAUAUAACCCAUUGAGUCGCAUAGAAUAGAAGAAUUAUUUAAUGUCGAAUGACACAGAGUGUGGUUGCCCAAUCACUCGAGCCAGGGGCUCAUGAUAGAAGUGCUCGAUGCGCCCGAUUGUGCCCAGAUGCGCCCUGCUUUGUUAUUUUACUCUGUCUAACGCCAGACGAUUUUACUCAUCAAGGGGAGAGUGCUGGCACUUAAUGGGUUAAACACAAAAGUGUGAAUUUUCUUUGGUUGCCUAUGAUCCCCCCUUUGCAUUUGACCCAAAGUUUUUUAAACAAGUUUUUCUAAGUCGAAGGUGAUUGUUUUGAUGAGAGAAAGAAAGUUUUGUGAGUUGGGGGAUCUUUAUGAAUUUUUAAAAAAAUUCCUGUGGUACUCCCAUUUUUAAAAACAAAAUAUGAAUUUUUCUGUUGCAUCCUUCGUCUGGUAUCAGUUAGAUAAGAUAUGUUGUCAGUUGAUAUGUGCAAAUAACUAGAUUAAUAUCUUUCAUUGUUUAGAUAUUUUGUUCCAAGAGAAUUUGGAUCAGUUAGCAGUCCUCAAUGUUGAACCGGAUUACAUGACAGGAAAAGAAAGAUUAUACCAAACAGAAUCAUCUACAGUCGCUGUCUUGAAUCAUUUAAAUAAGGUUAGUUUAUAAAACGCCUUCCAGGCAAUGUGGCAUGAAAAUUUUAAAUUCUGAAUAAUAUGUUAUCCCUUGGGGAAUUCAUCCAAUCUAAGCCAAUAAAUGCAAAGCCCUAUGUCAGUGAGCAUUUUUUAUCAGUUGAAAGUAAUUGUUUUGAUGAGAGAAAUAAAUGCUUAUCGACAAUUUUCAGAAAGUUUGGAAUAAUAGUUCCGGGCCUUUUUUAUUUAAAAAAUUCCUGUGCUCUCCCUUUGUUGAGCACAGAUUGCCACUUGCCUGUGGUUGCCCGCUUUGCAAAAUGUUCUAAAACGUGUUUUUAUCAAUUGAAAGUGAUUGUUUUGAUGAGAAAAUGUGUCUCAAUGUUUACUUUUUGUCCAUUUUGACGUAAAGCAACAAAAAAAACAACAAAAAAGCAAGACUAUUUUGAUUGACAAUUUUUCAUCGCUAGCUUUUGAAAAAAAAAGAAAGAAAUUAAAGAAAUCACUUCAACAGAAGAACAAAGUGAUUUAAAACGAAAAACUAAAAAAAAGAAAUUGAAGAAAUCACUUCAAUAGAAGAACAAAGUGAUUUAAAACGAAAAACUAAAAAAAAACAAAGAAAUUGAAGAAAUCACUUCAACAGAAGAACAAAGUGAUUUAAAACGAAAAACUAAAACAAAAAGAAAGAAAUUGAAGAAAUCACUUCAACAGAAGAACAAAGUGAUUUAAAACGAAAAACUAAAAAAAAAGAAAGAAAUUGAAGAAAUCACUUCAACAGAAGAACAAAGUGAUUUAAAACGAAAAACUAAAACAAAAAGAAAGAAAUUGAAGAAAUCACUUCAACAGAAGAACAAAGUGAUUUAAAACGAAAAACUAAAAAAAAAGAAAGAAAUUGAAGAAAUCACUUCAACGGAAGAACGAACUUUAAAACGAACAACUACAAUGCUUGAAACAGAUAAGACGACUUUUUCAUAACUGGGCAGAAAACAGCAAAUAAGUAAGGUUAUUGCCUUAAGUUUUCGUCGAUUUUAACGACUUUUUUUCGUAAAGGGACAAAAACAGCAAAAAAGCAAUUAAAAAGGACAAAUAAUAGCAAAAACCAAUUUUUACGACAUUUUUCAUUUUCCGUAAAGAGACAAAAAGGAGAAAAAAGGCAAGGCUAUACCCUUUACUUUUCGUCCAUUUUUGGCGACUUUUUUCAUUUUUCAUAAGUGGGCAAAAAACAGCAAAAAAGCAAGGCUAUAUAUAGCCUUAACUUUUCGUCCAUUUUUAGCGACUUUUUUCAUUUUUCAUCAGUGGGCAUAAAACAGCAAAAAAGUAAGGCUAUAUUUCCAUUUUUCAUAAGUGGCCAAAAAACAGCAAAAAAAGAAAAAAACAGCAAAAAAGUAAGAAACAUGAAAAACGGCAAAAAGUAAGGCUAUAUUUCCAUUUUGAAAAACAUGGACCUGAAAAACAUUUCAAACGUGAAAAACGGCGAAAAAGUAAGCCUAUAUUUCCAUUUUUCACAAGUGGUCGAAAAACAGCAAAAAAGUAACGCUAUAGCCUUCGUCCAUUUUUGGCGACUUUUUCAUUUUUCAUAAGUGGGCAAAAAACAGCAAGAAAGUAAGGCUAUACCCUUAACUUUUCGUCCAUUUUUGGCGACUUUUUUCAUUUUUCAUAAGUGGGCAAAAAACAGCAAGAAAGUAAGGCUAUACCCUUUACUUUUCGUCCAUUUUUGGCGACUUUUUUCAUUUUUCAUAAGUGGGAAAAAAACAGCAAAAAAGUAAGGCUAUACCCUUAACUUUUCGUCCAUUUUUGGCGACUUUUUUCAUUUUUCAUAAGUGGGCAAAAAACAGCA
RNAcentral lists this long non-coding RNA (3257 nucleotides) under Paramuricea clavata. Lineage: Eukaryota; Metazoa; Cnidaria; Anthozoa; Malacalcyonacea; Plexauridae. The record is from RNAcentral.